RNAcentral lists this ribosomal RNA (388 nucleotides) under Ctenophora sp. (in: diatoms). RNAcentral describes it as "Ctenophora sp. (in: Bacillariophyta) partial small subunit ribosomal RNA". It matches the Rfam family "Eukaryotic small subunit ribosomal RNA", at positions 582 to 975 of the family's 1831-position model. Lineage: Eukaryota; Bacillariophyta; Fragilariophyceae; Fragilariales; Fragilariaceae. The record is from RNAcentral.
AUUCCAGCUCCAAUAGCGUAUAUUAAAGUUGUUGCAGUUAAAAAGCUCGUAGUUGGAUUUCGGAACCGGCCGAUUGGUCCGUCCUCUGGAUCGUGUACUGAUCGGUCUGUUCUUCUUCGCGAAGACCGCGUGUGCCCUUAACUGGGUGGGCGCGGGAUUCGCGACGUUUACUUUGAAAAAAUUAGAGUGUUCAAAGCAGGCAGUCGCUUGAAUAUCUCAGCAUGGAAUAAUAGAAUAGGACUUUGGUCUUAUUUUGUUGGUUUCCGAGACCGAAGUAAUGAUUAAUAGGGACAGUUGGGGGCAUUCGUAUUUCAUUGUCAGAGGUGAAAUUCUUGGAUUUAUGAAAGACGAACUUCUGCGAAAGCAUUUGCCAAGGAUGUUUUCAUUA